Molecule: transfer RNA, 67 nt
Filed under: Phalops ardea
Lineage: Eukaryota; Metazoa; Arthropoda; Insecta; Coleoptera; Scarabaeidae
Description: tRNA-His
Source: RNAcentral
AUUUAAGUAGUUUAAUAUAAAAUAUUGAUUUGUGGUGUCAAUGAUGUAUAGUAAAAUACCUUAGAUA